Molecule: ribosomal RNA, 782 nt
Filed under: Morchella americana
Lineage: Eukaryota; Fungi; Ascomycota; Pezizomycetes; Pezizales; Morchellaceae
Description: partial large subunit ribosomal RNA
Rfam family: Eukaryotic large subunit ribosomal RNA
Source: RNAcentral
CCGCGUUGUAAUUUGUGAGGCAUCUCCCGGGUGGGGCGCCGGCCUAAGUUCCUUGGAACAGGACGUCAUAGAGGGUGAGAAUCCCGUGCUUGGCUGGCUGUCCCCGUCCAUGUGAGGUGUCUUCGACGAGUCGAGUUGUUUGGGAAUGCAGCUCAAAAUGGGUGGUAAAUUUCAUCUAAAGCUAAAUAUUGGUGGGAGACCGAUAGCGCACAAGUAGAGUGAUCGAAAGAUGAAAAGCACUUUGAAAAUAGAGUUAAAAAGUACGUGAAAUUGUUGAAAGGGAAGCGCUUGAGACCAGACUUCGGUGGGGAGUGAUCAGCCGUCCUUCUGGGCGGUGCACUUGCCCCCCUCCGGGCCAGCAUCGGUUGGGACGGCGGGAUAAAGGUCCCGGGAAUGUGGCUCCUCUCGGGGAGUGUUAUAGCCCGGGUGAAUGCCGCCAGCCCCGACCGAGGACCGCGCCUUCGGGCUAGGAUGCUUGGCAUAAUGGUCUUCAGCGACCCGUCUUGAAACACGGACCAAGGAGUCUAACAUCUAUGCGAGUGUUUGGGUGUCAAACCCUUGCGCGAAAUGAAAGUGAACGGAGGUGGGAACCCGCAAGGGCGCACCAUCGACCGGUCCCGAAGUCUUCUGAAGGAUCUGAGUAGGAGCAUAGCUGUUGGGACCCGAAAGAUGGUGAACUAUGCCUGAAUAGGGUGAAGCCAGAGGAAACUCUGGUGGAGGCUCGCAGCGGUUCUGACGUGCAAAUCGAUCGUCAAAUUUGGGUAUAGGGGCGAAAGACUAAU